Molecule: long non-coding RNA, 284 nt
Organism: Gavia stellata (red-throated loon)
Lineage: Eukaryota; Metazoa; Chordata; Aves; Gaviiformes; Gaviidae
Exons: 3
Source: RefSeq, a predicted model, not a curated record
AGCUUCUUGCAAGGAGACGAUGGCAGUUUGCAGAGCGGUGUCGUGAACCGCCUGAUAGCAGAGGUGUCCAGUGACAUGCGAGCAGCCCAGGGUGUGACAGAUGAUGUGAAGAUGGCUGCUAGCGACGUCCUGGUGGCUCUGGCCCGCUCCCGCUUCCACUUUGUCAUGUCUGAGCUCCAGAGCCACCUGAAGGCCAUGGGGAAGGUCCCUGAUGAGAUCGUGCUCCUCACCUUGGGCAAAAUGGCCCGCAGCUACGCCCUGCGGUGCAUCCCCUUCGUGGGAAU